Ictidomys tridecemlineatus (thirteen-lined ground squirrel) is the source of this 140-nucleotide unclassified non-coding RNA. The record is from Ensembl. Lineage: Eukaryota; Metazoa; Chordata; Mammalia; Rodentia; Sciuridae.
AAAAUUUCACAAUAGUUUGAUAACCAUGUGCAGCAUGCUGAUUUGAGCCUCUCCCAAUUCACUAAUAACCUCACUGGACCAAGCAGGGCUCAAUGUAUCUCUUCACCAGCACAUGCUUUCUGACAGCAUUAUGCAUCACC